AUGUCGGUCUGCAGAGCCCUGGCCACCUCCAUACAGGGUCCAUCCGUCUUCCCCUUGACUACCUGCUGCAAACCCAACACCGCUGCCUCCAUAAUGCUGGGCUGCCUGGUCAAGGGCUACUUCCCAGAGCCAGUGACCGUGACCUGGGAUGCAGGAUCCCUCGACACAAAUGCUGUGACCUUCCCGGCUGUCUCCGUCAUGACCUCCGGCCUCUACACCACCAGCAGCCAGAUGAAUGUCUCGGGCGCGUGGGCCAAGCAGAUGUUCACCUGCAGCGUGGCGCAUGCCCCGUCCACAACCCAGGUCAACAAGACCUUCAGUGCCUGUGCCAUAAACUUCACCCCACCCACCGUGAAGCUCUACCACUUUUCCUGUGACCACCGCGGGACCUUCCAACCCAACAUCGAGCUCUUGUGCCUCAUCUCCAACUACACCCCAGGUGACAUCAAGGUCACCUGGCUGGUGGAUGGACAGAAUACCACCACCGAGUACUGGUUCAUGGGCCCACUCAAGCAGGAGGGCAACCUGUCCUCCACCCACAGCGAGCUCCAUGUGUCCCAGGCCCAGUGGAUGUCUCAACACACCUACACCUGCCAGGUCACCUACCAGGGCUACACCUUCAAGGACAGCACCCACAAGUGCACAGAAUCCGAGCCACGAGGCGUGACAGCCUACCUGAUCCCACCUGGCCCCCUCGAUCUGUUCGUCAAUAAAUCGCCCGUGAUCACCUGUCUGGUGGUGGACUUGGCCAGCAAGAAGGACGUGAGCCUGACCUGGUCCCGGGAGACUGGGAGGUCGGUGAGCCCCGGUCCCCUGGUGCUCAAGGAUCAGCUCAACGGGACCGUCACUCUCACAUCCACCCUGCCAGUGGACACCCAGGCCUGGACUGACGGCGAGACCUACCACUGCACGGUGUCCCACCCCGACCUGCCCAAGGGCCUCGUGCGCUCCAUCACAAAGACCCCAGGCCAGCGUGCCCCCCCGGACGUCCAUGUGUUCCCACCUCCCGAGGUAGGGCAGAAGAGCGCCAACAAAUGCACCCUCACCUGCCUGGUCCAGAACUUCUUCCCGGCGGAGGUCUCGGUGCAGUGGCUGCACAAUGGGGUGCUGCUGCUCGACCACCAGCACAGCACCACACAGCCACAGCCCACCGGCGGCCCACACCCCACCUUCUUCGUCUUCAGCCGCCUGGAGGUGUCCCGGGCUGACUGGGAGCGCAACAACAAAUAUGUCUGCCGCGUGGUCCACGAGGCACUGCCCAACACUCGGAUACGUGAGGCAGCAGUGUCUGAAAAACCCAGCAAAUGA
Molecule: non-coding RNA, 1308 nt
Organism: Carlito syrichta (Philippine tarsier)
Lineage: Eukaryota; Metazoa; Chordata; Mammalia; Primates; Tarsiidae
Source: the annotation of a RefSeq genome assembly